RNAcentral lists this non-coding RNA (32 nucleotides) under Syntrophotalea carbinolica DSM 2380. Lineage: Bacteria; Pseudomonadati; Thermodesulfobacteriota; Desulfuromonadia; Desulfuromonadales; Syntrophotaleaceae. The record is from RNAcentral.
GGCCAUUUGUCUUUCUCCUUUUUGUUUGAGUG